GACGAACGCUGGCGGCGUGCUUAACACAUGCAAGUCGAACGGAAAGGCCCUGCUUUUGUGGGGUGCUCGAGUGGCGAACGGGUGAGUAACACGUGAGUAACCUGCCCUUGACUUUGGGAUAACUUCAGGAAACUGGGGCUAAUACCGGAUAGGAGCUCCUGCUGCAUGGUGGGGGUUGGAAAGUUUCGGCGGUUGGGGAUGGACUCGCGGCUUAUCAGCUUGUUGGUGGGGUAGUGGCUUACCAAGGCUUUGACGGGUAGCCGGCCUGAGAGGGUGACCGGCCACAUUGGGACUGAGAUACGGCCCAGACUCCUACGGGAGGCAGCAGUGGAGAGUAUUACACAAUGGGCGGAAGCCUGGUGCAGCAACGCCGCGUGCGGGAUGACGGCCUUCGGGUUGUAAACCGCUUUCGCCUGUGACGAAGCGUGAGUGACGGUAAUGGGUAAAGAAGCACCGGCUAACUACGUG
This 468-nucleotide ribosomal RNA is filed under the name uncultured bacterium. Its description in RNAcentral is "partial 16S ribosomal RNA". It matches the Rfam family "Bacterial small subunit ribosomal RNA", at positions 28 to 507 of the family's 1533-position model. The record is from RNAcentral.